UACGUAGGGUGCAAGCGUUAAUCGGAAUUACUGGGCGUAAAGCGUGCGCAGGCGGUUAUGCAAGACAGAGGUGAAAUCCCCGGGCUCAACCUGGGAACUGCCUUUGUGACUGCAUAGCUAGAGUACGGCAGAGGGGGAUGGAAUUCCGCGUGUAGCAGUGAAAUGCGUAGAUAUGAGGAGGAACACCGAUGGCGAAGGCAAUCCCCUGGGCCUGUACUGACGCUCAUGCACGAAAGCGUGGGGAGCAAACAGG
This 253-nucleotide ribosomal RNA is filed under the name uncultured bacterium. Its description in RNAcentral is "partial 16S ribosomal RNA". It matches the Rfam family "Bacterial small subunit ribosomal RNA", at positions 524 to 776 of the family's 1533-position model. The record is from RNAcentral.